UGGCGACCCCUAAUCGGGAAAAGCCGAACGACAAACAACAACAUAUAAUCUAGUAACUUCUGGAGGAACUACAUACCAGGUGAAACUAACAUCUUCAUCAUUCCAACAUGAAAUAUCUCAAUGGAAGAAAGGUCAGUAAAGAGGCUGAACACUGGAUAGAUGUUUCCGCUGUAGACCAUCAUUUUUACUAUCAAGAUUCAGUGUUAAAGCAAUGGGCAACAGAUGUCCGAGAAGGAUUAUCAUCCAGGCAACCUUCAAGAAAUGCUCAUUUUUUACAUUUUCUCUUUUUGCCUAACUUUACACACAAAAAAUCUUAUAGAUUAGGACAAAUUUCUAGUCUGAUGAAGUCUAUAAGAUGAAAGCACUAAUCCAAAUAAAGAUUCUUUAAAUGAA
Protopterus annectens (West African lungfish) is the source of this 393-nucleotide long non-coding RNA. RefSeq lists it as uncharacterized. The transcript is spliced from 2 exons. The record is from RefSeq and is a predicted model, not a curated record. Lineage: Eukaryota; Metazoa; Chordata; Ceratodontiformes; Protopteridae.